RNAcentral lists this ribosomal RNA (512 nucleotides) under uncultured bacterium. Its description in RNAcentral is "partial 16S ribosomal RNA". It matches the Rfam family "Bacterial small subunit ribosomal RNA", at positions 28 to 523 of the family's 1533-position model. The record is from RNAcentral.
GAUGAACGCUGGCGGCAUGCCUAAUACAUGCAAGUCGAACGAGAGGAAGGAAAGCUUGCUUUUCUGAAUCUAGUGGCGAACGGGUGAGUAACACGUAGGUAACCUGCCCAUGUGCCCGGGAUAACUUCUGGAAACGGAUGCUAAAACCGGAUAGGUAGCAGACAAGCAUUUGACUGCUAUUAAAGUGGCUAAGGCCAUGAACAUGGAUGGACCUGCGGUGCAUUAGCUAGUUGGUGAGGUAACGGCCCACCAAGGCGACGAUGCAUAGCCGGCCUGGGAGGGCGGACGGCCACAUUGGGACUGAGACACGGCCCAAACUCCUACGGGAGGCAGCAGUAGGGAAUUUUCGUCAAUGGGGGGAACCCUGAACGAGCAAUGCCGCGUGAGUGAGGAAGGUCUUCGGAUCGUAAAGCUCUGUUGUAAGAGAAAAACGACACUCAUAGGGAGUGAUGAGUGAGUGAUGGUAUCUUACCAGAAAGUCACGGCUAACUACGUGCCAGCCGCCGCCGUAA